UUGCCCUAGUAACGGCGAGUGAAGCGGCAACAGCUCAAAUUUGAAAUCUGGCCCUCGUGGUCCGAGUUGUAAUUUGCAGAGGAUGCUUUUGGCGCGGUGCCUUCCGAGUUCCCUGGAACGGGACGCCGGAGAGGGUGAGAGCCCCGUACGGUUGGACGCCUAGCCUUUGUAUAGCUCCUUCGACGAGUCGAGUAGUUUGGGAAUGCUGCUCUAAAUGGGAGGUAAAUUUCUUCUAAAGCUAAAUACCGGCCAGAGACCGAUAGCGCACAAGUAGAGUGAUCGAAAGAUGAAAAGCACUUUGAAAAGAGGGUUAAAUAGCACGUGAAAUUGUUGAAAGGGAAGCGUUUGCGACCAGACCUUUUCCGGGCGGAUCAUCCGGUGUUCUCACCGGUGCACUUCUCCCGGUCUAGGCCAGCAUCGGUUUCCUUAGGGGGAUAAAGGCCUGGGGAACGUGGCUCCUUCGGGAGUGUUAUAGCCCCUAGCGUAAUACCCCUCGGGGGACCGAGGACCGCGCUCUAUGCAAGGAUGCUGGCGUAAUGGUCGUCAACGACCCGU
Molecule: ribosomal RNA, 555 nt
Filed under: Annulohypoxylon sp. 5AM-B2-1
Lineage: Eukaryota; Fungi; Ascomycota; Sordariomycetes; Xylariales; Hypoxylaceae
Description: eukaryotic LSU rRNA
Rfam family: Eukaryotic large subunit ribosomal RNA
Source: RNAcentral